GUGAAAUCGAGUAGGGCGGGACACGUGACAUCCUGUCUGAAUAUGGGGGGACCAUCCUCCAAGGCUAAAUACUCCUGACUGACCGAUAGUGAACCAGUACCGUGAGGGAAAGGCGAAAAGAACCCCUGUGAGGGGAGUGAAAUAGAACCUGAAACCGUGUACGUACAAGCAGUGGGAGCCCUUCGGGGUGACUGCGUACCUUUUGUAUAAUGGGUCAGCGACUUACAUUUUGUAGCGAGGUUAACCGUAUAGGGGAGCCGUAGGGAAACCGAGUCUUAACUGGGCGUCUAGUUGCAAGGUGUAGACCCGAAACCGGGUGAUCUAGCCAUGGGCAGGUUGAAGGUUGAGUAACAUCAACUGGAGGACCGAACCCACUAACGUUGCAAAGUUAGGGGAUGACCUGUGGCUGGGGGUGAAAGGCCAAUCAAACUCGGAGAUAGCUGGUUCUCCCCGAAAGCUAUUUAGGUAGCGCCUCGGACGAAUACUACUGGGGGUAGAGCACUGUUUGGGCUAGGGGGUCAUCCCGACUUACCAACCCCAUGCAAACUCCGAAUACCAGUAAGUAAUAUCCGGGAGACACACGGCGGGUGCUAACGUCCGUCGUGAAGAGGGAAACAACCCAGACCGCCGGCUAAGGUCCCAAAGUUCUGGUUAAGUGGGAAACGAUGUGGGAAGGCUCAGACAGCUAGGAUGUUGGCUUAGAAGCAGCCAUCAUUUAAAGAAAGCGUAAUAGCUCACUAGUCGAGUCGGCCUGCGCGGAAGAUGUAACGGGGCUCAAACCAGGCACCGAAGCCGCGGAUUCACACUUAUGUGUGAGUGGUAGGGGAGCGUUCUGUAAGUCUGCGAAGGUGUAUCGAGAGGUAUGCUGGAGAUAUCAGAAGUGCGAAUGCUGACGUAAGUAACGAUAAAGGGGGUGAAAAGCCUCCUCGCCGGAAGACCAAGGGUUCCUGUCCAACGUUAAUCGGGGCAGGGUGAGUCGACCCCUAAGGCGAGGCCGAAAGGCGUAGUCGAUGGGAAGCAGGUUAAUAUUCCUGCACGACUUGUAAUUGCGAUGGGGGGACGGAGAAGGCUAGGUGGGCCAGGCGACGGUUGUCCUGGUGAAAGUGCGUAGGUGGUGUUUC
Molecule: ribosomal RNA, 1121 nt
Filed under: Aeromonas sp. HMWF017
Lineage: Bacteria; Pseudomonadati; Pseudomonadota; Gammaproteobacteria; Aeromonadales; Aeromonadaceae
Description: bacterial LSU rRNA
Rfam family: Bacterial large subunit ribosomal RNA
Source: RNAcentral